RNAcentral lists this ribosomal RNA (253 nucleotides) under uncultured bacterium. RNAcentral's name for it is "partial 16S ribosomal RNA". It matches the Rfam family "Bacterial small subunit ribosomal RNA", at positions 524 to 776 of the family's 1533-position model. The record is from RNAcentral.
UACGUAGGGUGCGAGCGUUGUCCGGAAUUAUUGGGCGUAAAGGGCUCGUAGGCGGUUUGUCGCGUCGGGAGUGAAAACGCCGGGCUUAACUCGGUGCUUGCUUUCGAUACGGGCAGACUAGAGUUCGGUAGGGGAGACUGGAAUUCCUGGUGUAGCGGUGAAAUGCGCAGAUAUCAGGAGGAACACCGGUGGCGAAGGCAGGUCACUGGGCCGCAACUGACGCUGAGGAGCGAAAGCAUGGGGAGCGAACAGG